UGAUAAUUAGCAAUACUCACUUAGACUUAUAUAUCGUUUCAUAGUGCUUUACAGCCCUCUCCAAACUGUUUACAGCGUCAACAUAUUGCUUCCAACAAUCUGGCUCCUCAUUUUACCGACCUCAGAAGGAUGGAAGGCUGAGUCAACAUUUAACCUGGUGAAAUUCGAACUGCCAAAUUGCAAGCAGCCGGCAGAUAGCAGAAGUCUCACAGCUAAGGUGCAACAGGAGAUUGUACAUGGCUGUUGUGCCAGUCCUCUUCUCGGUACAUUGUGAUCCUCUCCAUUAGGAGACUCCAGAGAAGUUCAACCCAGAUCAUUUUUUGGAUGAAAAGGGCCAAUUCAGGAAAAGAGAUGCUUUCAUGCCAUUCUCAGCAGGGAAGAUGGCUUGUCCAGGAGAGGCCCUGGCUAGGAUGGAGCUCUUCCUGUUCUUCAGCACCUUGCUCCAGAGGUUUACCUUCUAUCUGUCAGAUCAAAAGUAGCUUGCAGUGCUGCAUUCUAACCACUGCACCACCAUGACUCAUUAU
Notechis scutatus (mainland tiger snake) is the source of this 524-nucleotide non-coding RNA. The record is from RefSeq and is a predicted model, not a curated record. NCBI's taxonomy places the organism in Eukaryota, Metazoa, Chordata, Lepidosauria, Squamata, Elapidae.